This 432-nucleotide ribosomal RNA is filed under the name uncultured bacterium. RNAcentral describes it as "partial 16S ribosomal RNA". It matches the Rfam family "Bacterial small subunit ribosomal RNA", at positions 29 to 507 of the family's 1533-position model. The record is from RNAcentral.
AACGAACGCUGGCGGCAGGCCUAACACAUGCAAGUCGAGCGCGCCCUUCGGGGUGAGCGGCGGACGGGUGAGUAACGCGUGGGAACGUGCCCUUUUCUACGGAAUAGCCUCGGGAAACUGAGAUUAAUACCGUAUACGCCCUUUGGGGGAAAGAUUUCUCGGAAAAGGAUCGGCCCGCGUUGGAUUAGGUAGUUGGUGGGGUAAUGGCCUACCAAGCCGACGAUCCAUAGCUGGUUUGAGAGGAUGAUCAGCCACACUGGGACUGAGACACGGCCCAGACUCCUACGGGAGGCAGCAGUGGGGAAUCUUAGACAAUGGGGGCAAACCUGAUCUAGCCAUGCCGGGUGAGUGAUGAAGGCCUUAGGGUGUAAAGCUCUUUCAGCUGGGAAGAUAAUGACGGUAAAAGCAGAAGAAGCCCCGGCUAACUCCGUG